UACGUAGGCAGCAAGCGUUGUUCGGAGUUACUGGGCGUAAAGGGCUCGUAGGCGGCCAACUAAGUCGGACGUGAAAUCCCCAGGCUCAACCUGGGAACUGCGUCCGAUACUGGAUGGCUUGAAUCCGGGAGAGGGAUGUGGAAUUCCAGGUGUAGCGGUGAAAUGCGUAGAUAUCUGGAGGAACACCGGUGGCGAAGGCGGCAUCCUGGACCAACACUGACACUGAGGAGCGAAAGCCAGGGGAGCAAACGGG
This 253-nucleotide ribosomal RNA is filed under the name uncultured bacterium. RNAcentral's name for it is "partial 16S ribosomal RNA". It matches the Rfam family "Bacterial small subunit ribosomal RNA", at positions 524 to 776 of the family's 1533-position model. The record is from RNAcentral.